UUAAGCGACUAAGCGUACACGGUGGAUGCCCUGGCAGUCAGAGGCGAUGAAGGGCGUGCUAAUCUGCGAUAAGCGCCGGUAAGGUGAUAUGAACCGUUAUAACCGGCGAUACCCGAAUGGGGAAACCCAGUGUGACUCGUCACACUAUCAUUAACUGAAUCCAUAGGUUAAUGAGGCGAACCGGGGGAACUGAAACAUCUAAGUACCCCGAGGAAAAGAAAUCAACCGAGAUUCCCCCAGUAGCGGCGAGCGAACGGGGAGGAGCCCAGAGCCUGAAUCAGCAUGUGUGUUAGUGGAAGCGUCUGGAAAGGCGCGCGAUACAGGGUGACAGUCCCGUACACAAAAGCGCAUGUGCUGUGAGCUCGAUGAGUAGGGCGGGACACGUGGUAUCCUGUCUGAAUAUGGGGGGACCAUCCUCCAAGGCUAAAUACUCCUGACUGACCGAUAGUGAACCAGUACCGUGAGGGAAAGGCGAAAAGAACCCCGGCGAGGGGAGUGAAAAAGAACCUGAAACCGUGUACGUACAAGCAGUGGGAGCCCCACCACUAAGCCAGUGGUGAACUCCACAUACGCAUCCUUUGCUGAGGAUACGGUUAACGGAGCGAAAGCGACGUUCAACCGCAAAAGAAGCAGAGGGGGCUUAGUGGUGGGGUGACUGCGUACCUUUUGUAUAAUGGGUCAGCGACUUAUAUUCUGUAGCAAGGUUAACCGAAUAGGGGAGCCGGAGGGAAACCGAGUCUUAAUUGGGCGUUAAGUUGCAGGGUAUAGACCCGAAACCCGGUGAUCUAGCCAUGGGCAGGUUGAAGGUUGGGUAACACUAACUGGAGGACCGAACCGACUAAUGUUGAAAAAUUAGCGGAUGACCUGUGGCUGGGGGUGAAAGGCCAAUCAAACCGGGAGAUAGCUGGUUCUCCCCGAAAGCUAUUUAGGUAGCGCCUCGUGAAUUCAUCUCCGGGGGUAGAGCACUGUUUCGGCUAGGGGGCCAUCCCGGCUUACCAACCCGAUGCAAACUGCGAAUACCGGAGAAUGUUAUCACGGGAGACACACGGCGGGUGCUAACGUCCGUCGUGAAGAGGGAAACAACCCAGACCGCCAGCUAAGGUCCCAAAGUCAUGGUUAAGUGGGAAACGAUGUGGGAAGGCCCAGACAGCCAGGAUGUUGGCUUAGAAGCAGCCAUCAUUUAAAGAAAGCGUAAUAGCUCACUGGUCGAGUCGGCCUGCGCGGAAGAUGUAACGGGGCUAAACCAUGCACCGAAGCUGCGGCAGCGAACGUAUCACUUAAAGCGAUUCAGCGGGUUACGAUUGACGGAGCGAAGCGACGUCAAAGCGUAUACAAAGUCGAGUCGGUUUAAGGAUACGUUCGUUGGGUAGGGGAGCGUUCUGUAAGCCUGCGAAGGUGGCCUGUGAGGGUUGCUGGAGGUAUCAGAAGUGCGAAUGCUGACAUAAGUAACGAUAAAGCGGGUGAAAAGCCCGCUCGCCGGAAGACCAAGGGUUCCUGUCCAACGUUAAUCGGGGCAGGGUGAGUCGACCCCUAAGGCGAGGCCGAAAGGCGUAGUCGAUGGGAAACGGGUUAAUAUUCCCGUACUUGGUGUUACUGCGAAGGGGGGACGGAGAAGGCUAUGUUGGCCGGGCGACGGUUGUCCCGGUUUAAGCGUGUAGGUGUGUGUUCCAGGUAAAUCCGGUUCACUUUAACACUGAGGCGUGAUGACGAGGCACUACGGUGCUGAAGCAACAAAUGCCCUGCUUCCAGGAAAAGCCUCUAAGCAUCAGGUAACAUCAAAUCGUACCCCAAACCGACACAGGUGGUCAGGUAGAGAAUACCAAGGCGCUUGAGAGAACUCGGGUGAAGGAACUAGGCAAAAUGGUGCCGUAACUUCGGGAGAAGGCACGCUGACACGUAGGUGAAGUGAUUUACUCAUGGAGCUGAAGUCAGUCGAAGAUACCAGCUGGCUGCAACUGUUUAUUAAAAACACAGCACUGUGCAAACACGAAAGUGGACGUAUACGGUGUGACGCCUGCCCGGUGCCGGAAGGUUAAUUGAUGGGGUCAGCGCAAGCGAAGCUCCUGAUCGAAGCCCCGGUAAACGGCGGCCGUAACUAUAACGGUCCUAAGGUAGCGAAAUUCCUUGUCGGGUAAGUUCCGACCUGCACGAAUGGCGUAAUGAUGGCCAGGCUGUCUCCACCCGAGACUCAGUGAAAUUGAACUCGCUGUGAAGAUGCAGUGUACCCGCGGCAAGACGGAAAGACCCCGUGAACCUUUACUAUAGCUUGACACUGAACAUUGAGCCUUGAUGUGUAGGAUAGGUGGGAGGCUUUGAAGUGUGGACGCCAGUCUGCAUGGAGCCGACCUUGAAAUACCACCCUUUAAUGUUUGAUGUUCUAACGUGGACCCGUAAUCCGGGUUGCGGACAGUGUCUGGUGGGUAGUUUGACUGGGGCGGUCUCCUCCUAAAGAGUAACGGAGGAGCACGAAGGUUGGCUAAUCCUGGUCGGACAUCAGGAGGUUAGUGCAAUGGCAUAAGCCAGCUUGACUGCGAGCGUGACGGCGCGAGCAGGUGCGAAAGCAGGUCAUAGUGAUCCGGUGGUUCUGAAUGGAAGGGCCAUCGCUCAACGGAUAAAAGGUACUCCGGGGAUAACAGGCUGAUACCGCCCAAGAGUUCAUAUCGACGGCGGUGUUUGGCACCUCGAUGUCGGCUCAUCACAUCCUGGGGCUGAAGUAGGUCCCAAGGGUAUGGCUGUUCGCCAUUUAAAGUGGUACGCGAGCUGGGUUUAGAACGUCGUGAGACAGUUCGGUCCCUAUCUGCCGUGGGCGCUGGAGAACUGAGGGGGGCUGCUCCUAGUACGAGAGGACCGGAGUGGACGCAUCACUGGUGUUCGGGUUGUCAUGCCAAUGGCACUGCCCGGUAGCUAAAUGCGGAAGAGAUAAGUGCUGAAAGCAUCUAAGCACGAAACUUGCCCCGAGAUGAGUUCUCCCUGAGACUUUAGGUCUCCUGAAGGAACGUUGAAGACGACGACGUUGAUAGGCCGGGUGUGUAAGCGCAGCGAUGCGUUGAGCUAACCGGUACUAAUGAACCGUGAGGCUUAACCUU
This 3086-nucleotide ribosomal RNA is filed under the name Salmonella enterica. Its description in RNAcentral is "bacterial LSU rRNA". It matches the Rfam family "Bacterial large subunit ribosomal RNA". Lineage: Bacteria; Pseudomonadati; Pseudomonadota; Gammaproteobacteria; Enterobacterales; Enterobacteriaceae. The record is from RNAcentral.